GGAAAUCCAAUGGCUAAAACUAUGCAAUACACCAACCACUCCAUUUCAUAACGAACUUUGUACGAACCUGAAUUGUCCAAUUUCACGGACCAAUCGAUAUCGGAUUGAGUCCAAAACUUGGGGAACAUCAUAAUAUGGUGGGAGGAGUCAUUUGGUGAGGUUUGUGUGAAGUCCAAUCUCUAGAACUAUGCAAUACACCAACCACUCUAUUGCAUAACGAACUUCGUACGAAAAUAAAUUGUCCAA
Molecule: long non-coding RNA, 246 nt
Filed under: Prunus persica (peach)
Lineage: Eukaryota; Viridiplantae; Streptophyta; Magnoliopsida; Rosales; Rosaceae
Description: long non-coding RNA (PPER_LNC004647)
Source: RNAcentral